UUCUGGCUCAGGAUGAACGCUAGCUACAGGCUUAACACAUGCAAGUCGAGGGGCAGCGGGGAUCUAGCUUGCUAGGUCUGCCGGCGACCGGCGCACGGGUGAGUAACGCGUAUCCAACCUUCCCCUUAGUAGGGCAUAGCCCGUAGAAAUGCGGAUUAAUACCCUAUGUUCUUCGUCGAGGACAUCUGAAGUGAAGCAAAGAUUUAUCGCUAAGGGAUGGGGAUGCGUCUGAUUAGCUUGCCGGCGGGGUAACGGCCCACCGGGGCAACGAUCAGUAGGGGUUCUGAGAGGAAGGUCCCCCACAUUGGAACUGAGACACGGUCCAAACUCCUACGGGAGGCAGCAGUGAGGAAUAUUGGUCAAUGGUCGAGAGACUGAACCAGCCAAGUAGCCGUGCAGGAUGACGGCCCUAUGGGUUGUAAACUGCUUUUAUGCGGGGAUAAAGUUCACUACGUGUAGUGUUUUGUAGGUACCGCAUGAAUAAGGACCGGCUAAUUCCGUGCCAGCCGCGGC
This 513-nucleotide ribosomal RNA is filed under the name uncultured bacterium. RNAcentral's name for it is "bacterial SSU rRNA". It matches the Rfam family "Bacterial small subunit ribosomal RNA", at positions 17 to 518 of the family's 1533-position model. The record is from RNAcentral.